Long non-coding RNA from Panicum virgatum (switchgrass), 692 nucleotides. RefSeq lists it as uncharacterized. Lineage: Eukaryota; Viridiplantae; Streptophyta; Magnoliopsida; Poales; Poaceae. The transcript has 2 exons. The record is from RefSeq and is a predicted model, not a curated record.
AUUUCCUUGCAGGAUGGCAUAAAUAGAGCUGCUGCUCCUGCUGUAACAGGAAUAGCCGAGGUUGGGCAGAUUGUGGUUACUGAAAAUGGUGUCUCGGGGGUAGGGAUCUCGGACGACAGUGUUUCUUCUUGCUGAAAACAGGUUCAGCUGGCGGGAUGAGUUCUUCGCGUCACUCGGGGAGGGCCUCAAGCUCGUCUCCGUGUUCAGCCUUGGUGACCUGUUCCCGUCGUCGCCGCUCGUACGGAACGUCACGUACGGCGAGCGUACGCCAACCACCGGAAGAACUUUGAGCUCAUGGAAAUAUGGAAUGCACCACCAUCAUUCCAUCAAGCAGCACGAGGAGCGGAGAGCCGCGGCGCUGGUGAACAGCACUGACCAGGAGGAGGAGGACCUGGAGGACGUGCUCUUUUUUUUUGUAAACCUGAGGACGUGCUCUUGAGAGUACAAAAUUAGGCUCUGAUGUGUGCUGACUUAUUAGGCUCUGAUAGACUGAUACGUCUAGAAGCUUAAUUGUUUCAUUAUUUAAGUUGUCCACGAGGAAGGAAACUGUAGUAAAGCAGUGGCAAACUUUCUCUAUAUAGUUGGUGUUAAGGGGAAAUUUCCUAAUGCUAUUGGACAGGUGGGUAUGUGUAUCUACAUUUGUAUAGACUUGGAGUAAGAGAACUUCUUCAUAUGAUCCGGUCCGGAACUAA